GGGUUGUGAGGUUAAGCGACUAAGCGUACACGGUGGAUGCCCUGGCAGUCAGAGGCGAUGAAGGACGUGCUAAUCUGCGAUAAGCGUCGGUGAGGUGAUAUGAACCGUUAUAACCGGCGAUUUCCGAAUGGGGAAACCCAGUGUGUUUCGACACACUAUCAUUAACUGAAUCCAUAGGUUAAUGAGGCGAACCGGGGGAACUGAAACAUCUAAGUACCCCGAGGAAAAGAAAUCAACCGAGAUUCCCCCAGUAGCGGCGAGCGAACGGGGAGGAGCCCAGAGCCUGAAUCAGUGUGUGUGUUAGUGGAAGCGUCUGGAAAGGCGUGCGAUACAGGGUGACAGCCCCGUACACAAAAAUGCACAUAUUGUGAGCUCGAUGAGUAGGGCGGGA
Molecule: ribosomal RNA, 391 nt
Filed under: Escherichia coli
Lineage: Bacteria; Pseudomonadati; Pseudomonadota; Gammaproteobacteria; Enterobacterales; Enterobacteriaceae
Description: partial 23S ribosomal RNA
Rfam family: Bacterial large subunit ribosomal RNA
Source: RNAcentral